This 497-nucleotide ribosomal RNA is filed under the name uncultured bacterium. RNAcentral's name for it is "partial 16S ribosomal RNA". It matches the Rfam family "Bacterial small subunit ribosomal RNA", at positions 28 to 507 of the family's 1533-position model. The record is from RNAcentral.
GAUGAACGCUGGCGGCGUGCCUAAUACAUGCAAGUCGAGCGAACGGACGAGAAGCUUGCUUCUUUGAUGUUAGCGGCGGACGGGUGAGUAACACGUGGAUAACCUUCCUAUAAGACUGGGAUAACUUCGUGAAACCGUAGCUAAUUACGGCAAAUCGUCUGAACCGCAUGGUUCAAAAGUGAAAGACGGUCUUGCUGUCACUUAUAGAUGGAUCCGCGCGGCAUUAGCUAGUUGGUAAGGUAACGGCUUACCAAGGCAACGAUGCAUAGCCGACCUGAGAGGGUGAUCGGCCACACUGGAACUGAGACACGGUCCAGACUCCUACGGGAGGCAGCAGUAGGGAAUCUUCCGCAAUGGGCGAAAGCCUGACGGAGCAACGCCGCGUGAGUGAUGAAGGUCUUCGGAUCGUAAAACUCUGUUAUUAGGGAAGAACAUAUGUGUAAGUAACUGUGCACAUCUUGACGGUACCUAAUCAGAAAGCCACGGCUAACUACGUG